Molecule: long non-coding RNA, 286 nt
Filed under: Apteryx rowi (Okarito brown kiwi)
Lineage: Eukaryota; Metazoa; Chordata; Aves; Apterygiformes; Apterygidae
Description: lncRNA (ENSARWG00000008995.1)
Source: RNAcentral
UAAAUGUACCUGUACCUAAUAUUUUUUUUGUUGUAUUUGUGAACCAGGUGUUCCAGGUGACAUAAAAAUGAAGAUAUCCAUUGGUCUAAGGAAGUCAUGAGGGGAAGGAGGCUGAUGGUCGCCCGGAGACUCCGCACCUACGGAGAGUGACGUCCUGCUGCAGUGCCGCUGCCUACCUACGCUGACUGAGCUUGUCAAUGGAGCUGGAAAACAUCGUUGCCAACACCGUCUUGCUGAAAGCCAGGGAAGGGCUGUUUUUAGGAAUGCUCUACUGAGAGCAUUGCCA